Molecule: long non-coding RNA, 349 nt
Filed under: Mytilus galloprovincialis (Mediterranean mussel)
Lineage: Eukaryota; Metazoa; Mollusca; Bivalvia; Mytilida; Mytilidae
Source: RNAcentral
UUCUGAUAUUCUUAUUUCAAAUAAUACUUUUUCUUUUUAUGAUUGCAUGUUAUCGUUCUCAUCAUUAAUGUGCUGUUGUAUUGACGUUUGAGUAUCCUCGUAUUUCAUAUGCAUCAUACAGGUAAAAGGUGUACAUGUAUGCUCUGCUGUUAGGUUUUGAUAAUGCUGUGAAUGAUAAAUAUACUCCACUUUUUAACCUUUUACUUGCAAUCGGAUUUAAAGGGUAAUUAUUUAGGAAAUCCAGUUUUGCGUACUAUAAUUGAUAUACAUGUACAGGUUUCAUGUCUGAUAAUAGUGAUUACUUAUCAAUCAUUUAUUUGAUUAUUUUAGAGCUUUAUAUAUAUAAAAU